CACAGCUACUUUUGCAUAGGUACUAUUUAUGUACUACAAAUCUGUAGUACUGGAAAUCUACUUUUAAUAUUCAGUACUAUUGUGUUGCUUACGAAUUAUUGUAAUAUUUAAGAACCUGUAUUUUACAGUACUUGAUUUGUACUUGAAAUUUAAGUACUUCAGAUUUUUGGUUGCACGGUUACAUUUUCAGCAUUUUGAAUGUUUGUCUUUUUCAAAUCUCAUGAAGUUAUGAUGUUCAAACAUGGAAUACUGUGAUCAUUGUUGGUAU
Molecule: long non-coding RNA, 268 nt
Filed under: Mytilus galloprovincialis (Mediterranean mussel)
Lineage: Eukaryota; Metazoa; Mollusca; Bivalvia; Mytilida; Mytilidae
Source: RNAcentral